UUACACAUGCAAGUCGAACGAUGAUGCCAGCUUGCUGGUGGAUUAGUGGCGAACGGGUGAGUAACACGUGAGUAACCUGCCCUUAACUCUGGGAUAAGCCUGGGAAACUGGGUCUAAUACCGGAUAUGACUCCUCAUCGCAUGGUGGGGGGUGGAAAGCUUUUUGUGGUUUUGGAUGGACUCGCGGCCUAUCAGCUUGUUGGUGAGGUAAUGGCUCACCAAGGCGACGACGGGUAGCCGGCCUGAGAGGGUGACCGGCCACACUGGGACUGAGACACGGCCCAGACUCCUACGGGAGGCAGCAGUGGGGAAUAUUGCACAAUGGGCGCAAGCCUGAUGCAGCGACGCCGCGUGAGGGAUGACGGCCUUCGGGUUGUAAACCUCUUUCAGUAGGGAAGAAGCGAAAGUGACGGUACCUGCAGAAGAAGCGCCGGCUAACUACGUGCCAGCAGCCGCGGUAAUACGUAGGGCGCAAGCGUUAUCCGGAAUUAUUGGGCGUAAAGAGCUCGUAGGCGGUUUGUCGCGUCUGCCGUGAAAGUCCGGGGCUCAACUCCGGAUCUGCGGUGGGUACGGGCAGACUAGAGUGAUGUAGGGGAGACUGGAAUUCCUGGUGUAGCGGUGAAAUGCGCAGAUAUCAGGAGGAACACCGAUGGCGAAGGCAGGUCUCUGGGCAUUAACUGACGCUGAGGAGCGAAAGCAUGGGGAGCGAACAGGAUUAGAUACCCUGGUAGUCCAUGCCGUAAACGUUGGGCACUAGGUGUGGGGGACAUUCCACGUUUUCCGCGCCGUAGCUAACGCAUUAAGUGCCCCGCCUGGGGAGUACGGCCGCA
RNAcentral lists this ribosomal RNA (829 nucleotides) under Arthrobacter sp. RNAcentral describes it as "bacterial SSU rRNA". It matches the Rfam family "Bacterial small subunit ribosomal RNA", at positions 49 to 890 of the family's 1533-position model. The record is from RNAcentral. Lineage: Bacteria; Bacillati; Actinomycetota; Actinomycetes; Micrococcales; Micrococcaceae.